RNAcentral lists this transfer RNA (69 nucleotides) under Fundulus diaphanus (banded killifish). RNAcentral's name for it is "tRNA-Ala". It matches the Rfam family "tRNA". From Rfam's summary of the family: Transfer RNA (tRNA) molecules are approximately 80 nucleotides in length. Their secondary structure includes four short double-helical elements and three loops (D, anti-codon, and T loops). Lineage: Eukaryota; Metazoa; Chordata; Actinopteri; Cyprinodontiformes; Fundulidae. The record is from RNAcentral.
AAGGCUUUAGCUUAAUUAAAGUAUCUGCUUUGCACGUAGAAGAUGUGGGUUAAUAUCCCGUAAGUCUUA